Molecule: long non-coding RNA, 666 nt
Organism: Prionailurus viverrinus (fishing cat)
Lineage: Eukaryota; Metazoa; Chordata; Mammalia; Carnivora; Felidae
Exons: 3
Source: RefSeq, a predicted model, not a curated record
CUAACAUUUGUCAUUACCGGCAACAGAAUCGUGAAACCAUAUGGAAAGAAGCUGGCUAAUACUCAGUCCUAAUGAAUAAGGGCCUACUACUUGUAAUUCACAGAGCGAUUACAGGGAGUCAAAUACAGACCCUCUCGGAAAGAGAAAACCGAAGACACACACUGUCUAUUGUCUCAGCCCUCCUCAGUUGACCACACAGAACCAAUGGUUGGAUAAGGAGCAAAGGAGAGAUUACCGAUCACGGACAGGUGCCCACAGAGCGUGUGCAGUGCCGGGAAGCAGAAGGAAAGGCGAGAUUCUUCAAGAUUUCUGUUUGGGGGUGAGGGGCGGAGACCAAAUGCUGGUCAGGCCUCCAGCAACUUACAGCUGACUCUGGAACAACACUUGGACUGCACAGGUCCACUUAUAUAUACAUGGAUCGUUUCUGGUAUCGUACUAUACACGUAUUCUCUCUUUCUUGUGGUUUCCUUAAAUAUUUUCUUUUCUCUAGCUUACUUAGCUGUAAGAAUAUAAUAGACAUAACGUACAAACCAUGUGUUAAGCGACUGUUUCAUGCGAAUGGUAAGGCUUCUGGUCAACAGUAGACUAUUCGCAGUUAAACUUUUGAACAGUCGGAAGUUAGACACUCGUUUCGGACAGUGCGGAGCCCUGGUGUUGUUCAAGGGA